AGUAACACGUGGAUAACCUACCUAUAAGACUGGGAUAACUUCGGGAAACCGGAGCUAAUACCGGAUAAUAUUUUGAACCGCAUGGUUCAAAAGUGAAAGACUGUCUUGCUGUCACUUAUAGAUGGAUCCGCGCUGCAUUAGCUAGUUGGUAAGGUAACGGCUUACCAAGGCAACGAUGCAUAGCCGACCUGAGAGGGUGAUCGGCCACACUGGAACUGAGACACGGUCCAG
RNAcentral lists this ribosomal RNA (231 nucleotides) under uncultured Staphylococcus sp. Its description in RNAcentral is "partial 16S ribosomal RNA". It matches the Rfam family "Bacterial small subunit ribosomal RNA", at positions 109 to 334 of the family's 1533-position model. Lineage: Bacteria; Bacillati; Bacillota; Bacilli; Caryophanales; Staphylococcaceae. The record is from RNAcentral.